UGGGGAAUAUUGCACAAUGGGGGAAACCCUGAUGCAGCGACGCCGCGUGAACGAAGAAGGUAUUCGUAUCGUAAAGUUCUGUCCUAUGGGAAGAUAAUGACAGUACCAUAGAAGAAAGCUCCGGCUAAAUACGUGCCAGCAGCCGCGGUAAUACGUAUGGAGCGAGCGUUGUCCGGAAUUAUUGGGCGUAAAGGGUACGCAGGCGGUUUAAUAAGUCGAAUGUUAAAGAUCGGGGCUCAACCCCGCAAAGCAUUGGAAACUGAUAAACUUGAGUAGUGGAGAGGAAAGUGGAAUUCCUAGUGUAGUGGUGAAAUACGUAGAUAUUAGGAGGAAUACCAGUAGCGAAGGCGACUUUCUGGACACAAACUGACGAUGAGGUACGAAAGCGUGGGGAGCAAACAGG
Molecule: ribosomal RNA, 403 nt
Filed under: bacterium
Lineage: Bacteria
Description: partial 16S ribosomal RNA
Rfam family: Bacterial small subunit ribosomal RNA
Source: RNAcentral